This 230-nucleotide ribosomal RNA is filed under the name uncultured bacterium. Its description in RNAcentral is "partial 16S ribosomal RNA". It matches the Rfam family "Bacterial small subunit ribosomal RNA", at positions 562 to 791 of the family's 1533-position model. The record is from RNAcentral.
AAAGCGUGCGCAGGCGGUUUUGUAAGUUUGUCGUGAAAGCCCCGGGCUCAACCUGGGAAUUGCGAUGAAGACUGCAAGGCUUGAAUCUGGCAGAGGGGGGUAGAAUUCCACGUGUAGCAGUGAAAUGCGUAGAGAUGUGGAGGAACACCGAUGGCGAAGGCAGCCCCCUGGGUCAAGAUUGACGCUCAUGCACGAAAGCGUGGGGAGCAAACAGGAUUAGAUACCCGUGU